Molecule: ribosomal RNA, 497 nt
Filed under: uncultured bacterium
Lineage: Bacteria
Description: partial 16S ribosomal RNA
Rfam family: Bacterial small subunit ribosomal RNA
Source: RNAcentral
GAUGAACGCUGGCGGCGUGCCUAAUACAUGCCAGUCGAGCGAACAGACGAGGAGCUUGCUCCUCUGACGUUAGCGGCGGACGGGUGAGUAACACGUGGAUAACCUACCUAUAAGACUGGGAUAACUUCGGGAAACCGGAGCUAAUACCGGAUAAUAUAUUGAACCGCACGGUUCAAUAGUGAAAGACGGUUUUGCUGUCACUUAUAGAUGGAUCCGCGCCGCAUUAGCUAGUUGGUAAGGUAACGGCUUACCAAGGCAACGAUGCGUAGCCGACCUGAGAGGGUGAUCGGCCACACUGGAACUGAGACACGGUCCAGACUCCUACGGGAGGCAGCAGUAGGGAAUCUUCCGCAAUGGGCGAAAGCCUGACGGAGCAACGCCGCGUGAGUGAUGAAGGUCUUCGGAUCGUAAAACUCUGUUAUUAGGGAAGAACAAAUGUGUAAGUAACUAUGCACGUCUUGACGGUACCUAAUCAGAAAGCCACGGCUAACUACGUG